CAGUCUCGCCUGAAAGUUGUCUAGUCUGGUUAUCCAGCAACUACAGUACAUGUGGCCAGAAAAAUUCUGGACAGAAAAGCAAAAUAACAUCACUAAGGAAGUGAAUCUUAGAUCAGACAAUCCAAGAUGGUGACACUUUCAGUUAAAUGCAAGCCAGUAUCCUUUUGGUGGUGGCACAAAAAACACGGUGAUGU
This is a long non-coding RNA of Polypterus senegalus (gray bichir), 194 nucleotides long. RefSeq lists it as uncharacterized. The transcript is spliced from 3 exons. NCBI's taxonomy places the organism in Eukaryota, Metazoa, Chordata, Cladistia, Polypteriformes, Polypteridae. The record is from RefSeq and is a predicted model, not a curated record.